Syzygium oleosum is the source of this 1687-nucleotide long non-coding RNA. RefSeq lists it as uncharacterized. The transcript is spliced from 2 exons. NCBI's taxonomy places the organism in Eukaryota, Viridiplantae, Streptophyta, Magnoliopsida, Myrtales, Myrtaceae. The record is from RefSeq and is a predicted model, not a curated record.
GCCAAUGAUAUUUGGCCUUUAAAUUAAGCUCCUUGUAAUGGGCCUAAAAAAUCUCUCCCUCUCUUUGAUUUUUGGAAAAGGAUUCUUCUCAGUAUCAUUGUCCUCAUGUCCCAAAUCACAUUUGUUAUAGUGAGGAAUUUGCAUUGAGAGAAUGUGCUUCAAGAUUUUUGAAUCGAGAGAAAAUGUGGUGCUGAGUUUUAAAAUCUCUUCUUUGAGAGUACUAUUUUCAGCUUGAGAAAUGUGAACUUCACUCACUCGGAGGCCGUUUUCCUUUUUCAAGUUUUCAAUAAUAGUUUUGUAAUCAAGGUUUUUGGAAGUGAGCUCAAAAACUUAUUUCUUUAAAACUGAAACCCUUUUUGAAACCUUUUUGUGUUCUUCAAACAUUUCUUUCAAAAAUUCCUACAUCUCUUCAUAAGUUAGUUCAGGAUUAUUUACCUUAUUUUCAUCUUCAUGGUCGGAAUAUGCCAUUAGACAAAGUUUUGCUUCCUCUCCAUCACUGGAUUCACAUUCGGUAUCACUCCAUGAUUCAGCUUUCAGUGCUCUCUCCUCUUCUUUUCAUAUUUCCCUUUCUUCUUGUUGAGCAAUGGGCAAUUUGGCUUUAUGUGACAUGGUUUUUUGCAUUCAUAACAAAUAAGAUCGUUACUUUUGGAGUCUUCUUUGCUUUUGUAUUGCCUCUUUUCUUCUGGAAACUUCGUUUGACGUUUUCUUUUGAAGUUUCCUCCUUUCUUCAUAAGGCUAUUGAAUCUUCAAGUGGAUAAUGCCAUAUCUUCAUUGUUACCUUCAUCUCCUAAUGAUAUUUGAUCACCUGUAUCAUCAUGGUUAGCUUUGAAUGCAAUAACUUUCUUACCUUUUGAAUUACCUUCUUCAUUUUGUUGUUCUAUUUCAUAGGACGUGAAUGUUCCUAUCAGCUUAUCCAUCGUGAUUGGAUGAAUCUUCAUUGUUUCUCGUAUUGAGGUCUUUACGUUGUUCCAUUACUUUGGCAAUGCUCUCAAUAGCUUGUUCAUAUUUUCUCCAUCAAUGAACAAUUUUCCUUGGUGUGCUAGGUCAUUUACUAUUUCUAUGAAUCUGUUGAACAUUUGUGAUACUAUUUUAUCUAAUUUCAUCUUGAAAAAGUUCAUAUUGUCCAAGAAAGAUGUUCAUCUUUGUCUCCUAUAUACUCUAUCAAUUCCUUCAAAUAUCAGUUGAAGUCAAUCCCAAAUGUCCUUACCUGUGACACAAGAAGAAAUUCUGCUAAAUUGAGAUAAAGAUAAUGAACAAUAUAGCAAAUAUCUAGCUUUAGCAUUGUGACCAGCUCUAUUUCGUCGAGCUUCUUCAGCAGCAGCAAUAGCUGCAACAUCUUUAGCUUGAGCUUCUUGUCCUUCUCGUCGAACAGGACUGGGAUGGGAGCUAGAGUAGAUCUUCUCUUUUAUAGGCAUCCUCAAUUAGACUGUUGGAGAUGUCUUGGAGAAGUAAGAGAGCCGUUGGGAGUUCGUUGGUGCUGUUGUCCAAGGAUGGUACUGCCCAUGCAGCUUUUCCCGAACAUUUGCAAACUACUUGAAAUAGCUUCUGUUGUUGUUCUAUCGCUGCAGCUUUGACAUAUUGUUAGACAGUCUAUUCUCAGAUUUUUUGUUUCUUCUACUGUGUAUGUUCAGUCCAUAACGGCAAUAAUAGUGAACCAAUGGUCAUAUUCAAUGAUCCGUUGCUAUAA